RNAcentral lists this ribosomal RNA (467 nucleotides) under uncultured bacterium. RNAcentral describes it as "bacterial SSU rRNA". It matches the Rfam family "Bacterial small subunit ribosomal RNA", at positions 28 to 507 of the family's 1533-position model. The record is from RNAcentral.
GACGAACGCUUGCGGCGUGCCUAAGAAAUGCAAGUCGAGCGAGGUUUAGGCUUCGGCCGACGACCUAGCGGCGAACGGUCGCGUAACACGUAAGCAACCUGCCCUAAAGUUGGGGAUAGCCCGCCGAAAGGCGGAUUAAUACCGAAUGUGGAUAUGUAUUCGCAUGUAUAUAUAUCUGAAGCAGCGAUGCGCUUUAGGAUGGGCUUGCGGCCUAUCAGUUAGUUGGUGUGGGUAACGGCCUACCAAGACGACGACGGGUAGCUGGUCUGAGAGGAUGGUCAGCCGGAUUGGGACUGAGACACGGCCCAGACUCCUACGGGGGGCAGCAAUUAGGAAUCUUGCGCAAUGGGCGAAAGCCUGACGCAGCGACGCCGCGUGACUGAUGAAGUCUUUCGAGAUGUAAAGGUCUUUUGUUGGGGACGAAGGAAGUGACGGUACCCGACGAAUAAGCCCCGGCUAACUACGUG